This 228-nucleotide unclassified non-coding RNA is filed under the name Hevea brasiliensis (rubber tree). Lineage: Eukaryota; Viridiplantae; Streptophyta; Magnoliopsida; Malpighiales; Euphorbiaceae. The record is from RNAcentral.
AGAUGAUGACCCCCCAUUGAUGUUAUGAGGAAACUUAUCAGAGUUUGAUCGCUUUCUCUUGAUGACGAUGAUCCAUGUAAUGACUUCAAGGACGACGGCGACGGCGCCCAAGAAGAUGAUGACUCCGGUGUAAGCCCGUUUCCAUUUUCCAUCAGGGUUCAAGAUAUCUAAUCCUUUAAAGACGUUGAUGAUGCUAAGAACAAUCACACUGUAUCCGAUCGAAUGAUG